Small nucleolar RNA from Bradysia coprophila, 78 nucleotides. RefSeq annotates it as small nucleolar RNA Me28S-Gm3255. NCBI's taxonomy places the organism in Eukaryota, Metazoa, Arthropoda, Insecta, Diptera, Sciaridae. The record is from RefSeq and is a predicted model, not a curated record.
AUGAACAUUAUGCAUUCUUAACUUUCUGACAUCUCUUAUGAAUCGUUGUGAUUUAACGAAGCUUAUUUAUCUGAUCUA